Molecule: long non-coding RNA, 573 nt
Organism: Homo sapiens (human)
Lineage: Eukaryota; Metazoa; Chordata; Mammalia; Primates; Hominidae
Source: Ensembl
AGUUAGUUAUUCACUGCAACCAAGUGCAGAUCAUUUCCACUUACUUUACCAUCUAACUGUGAAGAUUAUUAAGGAAAAGGACUUUUUCUUCUUCUCUCUUCUAACAUGUUAAACUAAGAACCUUCCCACUGUGAACUACUGGCAUCUUACUUUUUGACCCCUUGACAAGAAGAACUGGAGUUACCAAAAUGCUGUCAUUUAAGGUGUUGGAGUGGAAACCAGAACAUUACCUAUUAUCAAGAAGGGGUUUCUUCUAAGGCAUUCAGGGCACUCAGAAACAUACAUCUAAGGAAAGAUUCACUUAAAAACCAGCCAAGACACAGUCAUAUAAUUGGGAUCUCCAGGGCCCUGAGUAAAGACAGUCUCCUCCCACUUCAUCGUCGGUAAAUCAAACUCUCCACAGAUGGUCAGUCAAGAGGAAGAAAAGGAAACUUGAGGCAAGGGAAGAUGUGAAACAAUUCAAAGUGAUGCAUAUGACUCCAGCUGCUGCCGUGUGAAGUACCACCGUGAGAUACAGCAGCUUUCUCAGCAGGCUUGUCUACGAAAACAUCAGGGACUCCCCUGGAAAUUGUG